AUGCGUGUUGUGGGCAUUGGCAAAGUAAACCCUUGCAUCUUUUUCAAGCCUCUGAUUAGCAUUCUGAGUCCAUUUGCUGAAAAGUAGUGAUCUCAUCCCUUAGUUU
This 106-nucleotide small nucleolar RNA is filed under the name Olea europaea subsp. europaea. RNAcentral's name for it is "Plant small nucleolar RNA R71". It matches the Rfam family "Plant small nucleolar RNA R71". From Rfam's summary of the family: R71 is a member of the C/D box family of snoRNAs containing the C (UGAUGA) and D (CUGA) box motifs. Multiple nearly identical copies of this snoRNA have been identified in Arabidopsis, and it is thought to function as a 2'-O-ribose methylation guide for 18S ribosomal RNA. Lineage: Eukaryota; Viridiplantae; Streptophyta; Magnoliopsida; Lamiales; Oleaceae. The record is from Rfam by way of RNAcentral.